Molecule: ribosomal RNA, 424 nt
Filed under: uncultured bacterium
Lineage: Bacteria
Description: bacterial SSU rRNA
Rfam family: Bacterial small subunit ribosomal RNA
Source: RNAcentral
AAUAUUGGACAAUGGGCGCAAGCCUGAUCCAGCCAUACCGCGUGGGUGAAGAAGGCCUUCGGGUUGUAAAGCCCUUUUGUUGGGAAAGAAAUCCAGCCGGUUAAUACCUGGUUGGGAUGACGGUACCCAAAGAAUAAGCACCGGCUAACUUCGUGCCAGCAGCCGCGGUAAUACGAAGGGUGCAAGCGUUACUCGGAAUUACUGGGCGUAAAGCGUGCGUAGGUGGUCGUUUAAGUCCGUUGUGAAAGCCCUGGGCUCAACCUGGGAACUGCAGUGGAUACUGGGCGACUAGAGUGUGGUAGAGGGUAGCAGAAUUCCUGGUGUAGCAGUGAAAUGCGUAGAGAUCAGGAGGAACAUCCAUGGCGAAGGCAGCUACCUGGACCAACACUGACACUGAGGCACGAAAGCGUGGGGAGCAAACAGG